AUGUACCACGCGUCCACUGCGGUUACUGGGCGCCGUCCGCGCUCACCUGACAGCUGCUCGCGACGUGUUGUUAACC
This 76-nucleotide small RNA is filed under the name Xanthomonas oryzae. Its description in RNAcentral is "sX9 sRNA". It matches the Rfam family "Xanthomonas sRNA sX9". The record is from RNAcentral. RNAcentral also lists the same sequence under 1 other name. Lineage: Bacteria; Pseudomonadati; Pseudomonadota; Gammaproteobacteria; Lysobacterales; Lysobacteraceae.